UUACGGCCACAUCACAUUGAAACACCGGCUCCCGUGGGAACACCGGAGUUAAGCAACGUCGACCUGGUCAGUACUUUGACAAGUGACCGCUUGGGAAUACCAGGUUCCGUAA
Acanthosepion pharaonis is the source of this 112-nucleotide non-coding RNA. The record is from the annotation of a GenBank genome assembly. NCBI's taxonomy places the organism in Eukaryota, Metazoa, Mollusca, Cephalopoda, Sepiida, Sepiidae.